RNAcentral lists this long non-coding RNA (247 nucleotides) under Gossypium barbadense (sea-island cotton). Its description in RNAcentral is "long non-coding RNA (GBAR_LNC010761)". Lineage: Eukaryota; Viridiplantae; Streptophyta; Magnoliopsida; Malvales; Malvaceae. The record is from RNAcentral.
AAUAAUAGAAAAAGGGUAAUACUAGUACUUUUAGUCCUCGUGGAUACGAUAUUCCCUACUCACCAUUACUAUAGUAUUGUUCGAUGGGUGUGCUUGCCUUAGUCAGACACACGGGCGUGUUCGAGGCCGUGUAAAGACUGGGCUUAUAUUUUUAAAAAAUGCACAUAGGCUGAAAAGGAAGCACAUGACCGUGUCACCCAUUUAAACCCCAAACCCUAAAUAUACUUUUCACUUUGUCUUCUUCCCA